AGGAUGAACGCUGGCGGUGUGCCUAAUACAUGCAAGUCGAACGAGACCUUCGGGUCUAGUGGCGGACGGGUGAGUAACACGUUGGUACCUACCCCUAAGUGGGGAAUAACUGCCCGAAAGGGUGGCUAAUACCGCAUAAUCCCGCAAGGGUAAAGCAGUAAUGCGCUUAGGGAGGGGCCUGCGUCCCAUUAGCUUGUUGGUAGUGUAAUGGACUACCAAGGCGACGAUGGGUAGCUGGAUCGAGAGGUUGACCAGCCACACUGGGACUGAGAUACGGCCCAGACUCCUACGGGAGGCAGCAGUAAGGAAUCUUCCACAAUGGACGAAAGUCUGAUGGAGCAACACCGCGUGCAGGAUGACGGUCUUCGGAUUGUAAACUGCUUUUAUAUGGGAAGAUUAUGACGGUACAUAUGAAUAAGGACCGGCUAACUACGUGCCAGCAGCCGC
Molecule: ribosomal RNA, 447 nt
Filed under: uncultured bacterium
Lineage: Bacteria
Description: SSU rRNA
Rfam family: Bacterial small subunit ribosomal RNA
Source: RNAcentral